GACGAACGCUGGCGGCGUGCCUAAUACAUGCAAGUCGAGCGAAGUCUUUCCGGUGCUUUCACCGGAAAAACUUAGCGUCGAACGGGUGAGUAACACGUAAAGAACCUGCCUCAUAGACGGGGACAACCAUUGGAAACGAUACCUAAUACCGGAUAAUAGCAUUAGCUGCAUGGCUGAUGUUUAACAGUUGUUUUUGCUAACACUAUGAGAUGGCUUUGGGGGGCAUUAGCUAGGUGGCGGGGUAAAGGCCCACCAAGGCGACGAUGCGUAGCCGACCUGAGAGGGGGAUCGGCCACACUGGAACUGAGACACGGUCCAGACUCCUACGGGAGGCAGCAGUGGGGAAUAUUGGACAAUGGGCGCAAGCCUGACGGAGCAAUGCCGCGUGGGUGAAGAAGGACUUCGGUUUGUAAAGCUCUGUUGUUGGGAAAGAAAAGCAGUGGGGUAAUAACCCGCUGUAGUGACGGUACCUAAAGAAAAAGCAACGGCUAACUACGUG
RNAcentral lists this ribosomal RNA (499 nucleotides) under uncultured bacterium. Its description in RNAcentral is "partial 16S ribosomal RNA". It matches the Rfam family "Bacterial small subunit ribosomal RNA", at positions 28 to 507 of the family's 1533-position model. The record is from RNAcentral.